This 503-nucleotide ribosomal RNA is filed under the name uncultured bacterium. RNAcentral describes it as "bacterial SSU rRNA". It matches the Rfam family "Bacterial small subunit ribosomal RNA", at positions 29 to 524 of the family's 1533-position model. The record is from RNAcentral.
AACGAACGCUGGCGGCGCGCUUAACACAUGCAAGUCGAACGAGAAGGCGUAGCAAUACGCUUGUACAGUGGCGAACGGGUGAGGAAUACAUGGGUAACCUACCCUCGAGUGGGGGAUAACCCGCCGAAAGGCGGGCUAAUACCGCGUACGCUUCCGAUCUUGCGGGAUUGGAAGGAAAGCUGUCCCUUGGGGAUGGCGCUCAAGGAUGGGCUCAUGUCCUAUCAGCUUGUUGGAGGGUGACGGCCUACCAAGGCAUCGACGGGUAGCUGGUCUGAGAGGACGAUCAGCCACACUGGCACUGCGACACGGGCCAGACUCCUACGGGAGGCAGCAGUGAGGAAUAUUGCGCAAUGGGCGAAAGCCUGACGCAGCGACGCCGCGUGGGGGAUGAAGGUCUUCGGAUUGUAGACCCCUUUCGGGAGGGAAGACGGCCUUAGACAACUAAGGCGGACGGUACCUCCAGAAGCAGCCACGGCUAACUUCGUGCCAGCAGCCGCCGUAAC